CGCUGGCGGCGUGCCUAACACAUGCAAGUCGAGCGGGGACAUACGACGGAUAGGAAGUUUCGGAUGGAAUUGAAGAUGUAUUGUUCUAGCGGCGGACGGGUGAGUAACGCGUGAGCAACCUGUCCCUUACAGGGGGAUAACACAGCGAAAGUUGUACUAAUACCGCAUAAGACCACGGGGAGACAUCUUCCAGGGGUCAAAGGAGCAAUCCGGUAAGGGGUGGGCUCGCGUCCGAUUAGAUAGUUGGUGAGGUAACGGCCCACCAAGUCGACGAUCGGUAGCCGACCUGAGAGGGUGAUCGGCCACAUUGGGACUGAGACACGGCCCAAACUCCUACGGGAGGCAGCAGUGGGGAAUAUUGGGCAAUGGGGGGAAACCCUGACCCAGCAACGCCGCGUGAGGGAAGAAGGUUUUCGGAUCGUAAACCUCUGUCCUUGGUGAAGAGGAAGAGACGGUAGCCAAGGAGGAAGCCCCGGCUAACUACGUGCCAGCCGCCGC
Molecule: ribosomal RNA, 498 nt
Filed under: uncultured bacterium
Lineage: Bacteria
Description: bacterial SSU rRNA
Rfam family: Bacterial small subunit ribosomal RNA
Source: RNAcentral